Molecule: ribosomal RNA, 429 nt
Filed under: Bacteroidota bacterium
Lineage: Bacteria; Pseudomonadati; Bacteroidota
Description: Bacteroidetes bacterium partial 16S ribosomal RNA
Rfam family: Bacterial small subunit ribosomal RNA
Source: RNAcentral
UAGGGAAUCUUCCGCAAUGGACGCAAGUCUGACGGAGCAACGCCGCGUGAGUGAAGAAGGAUUUCGGUUCGUAAAACUCUGUUGUUAGAGAAGAACAGCGCAUAGAGUAACUGUUAUGCGUGUGACGGUAUCUAACCAGAAAGCCACGGCUAACUACGUGCCAGCAGCCGCGGUAAUACGUAGGUGGCAAGCGUUGUCCGGAUUUAUUGGGCGUAAAGCGAGCGCAGGCGGUCAAUUAAGUCUGAUGUGAAAGCCCCCGGCUCAACCGGGGAGGGUCAUUGGAAACUGGUUGACUUGAGUGCAGAAGAGGAGAGUGGAAUUCCAUGUGUAGCGGUGAAAUGCGUAGAUAUGUGGAGGAACACCAGUGGCGAAGGCGACUCUCUGGUCUGUAACUGACGCUGAGGCUCGAAAGCGUGGGUAGCAAACAGG